This is a long non-coding RNA of Pongo pygmaeus (Bornean orangutan), 448 nucleotides long. RefSeq lists it as uncharacterized. The record is from RefSeq and is a predicted model, not a curated record. Lineage: Eukaryota; Metazoa; Chordata; Mammalia; Primates; Hominidae. The transcript is spliced from 3 exons.
CAUUCGAGGCUGGGAGAGCCGAUGCCUUCGCAGUAAUUCCCACCGUGGAGGUUUGUGGAAAGACCGCUUUCGCCAUGGAGAGUAAAGGCGGGCUGGAAAGUCCCUAAGCGAGACGGGGUUUUGCCAUGUUGGUGUCGAACUAACUCCUGGCCUCAAGAGAUCCAUGGGCCUCGGCCUCCCAAGGUGCCAGGAUUACAGUCACUGCUACAACAUGCUGACCUCCUGGAGAACAGGGACGUGUGGUGUUUCUCUUUGUAUUUGUCUUUUGUUCCCAGAACAGGUAAGUACAUGGUGCCGGGUAUAGGUAGGUACCCGCUCAAUAAAUGUGAAUGAGUGAAUGAGUGGUGGGGUUGAUCUUAUCCUGAAAGAGGGAGCUCCCCACCUGCACUUUCCUGGAGCAAUCUCUAGAGGGCAGUCUCACACCAUGCUUGUCUUCUCUAGCCUCUGC